UUUAAAGGAUAAAAGUAAUCCACUGGNCUUC
Molecule: transfer RNA, 31 nt
Filed under: Sceloporus bicanthalis
Lineage: Eukaryota; Metazoa; Chordata; Lepidosauria; Squamata; Phrynosomatidae
Description: partial tRNA-Leu
Source: RNAcentral